This 441-nucleotide ribosomal RNA is filed under the name uncultured bacterium. Its description in RNAcentral is "partial 16S ribosomal RNA". It matches the Rfam family "Bacterial small subunit ribosomal RNA", at positions 338 to 795 of the family's 1533-position model. The record is from RNAcentral.
CCUACGGGAGGCAGCAGUGGGGAAUAUUGCACAAUGGGGGAAACCCUGAUGCAGCGACGCCACGUGGGUGACGAAGUAUUUCGGUAUGUAAAGCCCUAUCAGCAGGGAAGAAGAUGACAGUACCUGACCAAGAAGCCCCGGCUAACUACGUGCCAGCAGCCGCGGUAAUACGUAGGGGGCAAGCGUUAUCCGGAUUUACUGGUUGUAAAGGGAGCGUAGGUGGCAUGGCAAGCCAGAAGUGAAAACCCGGGGCUUAACCCCGCGGAUUGCUUUUGGAACUGUCAGGCUGGAGUGCAGGAGGGGCAGGCGGAAUUCCUGGUGUAGCGGUGAAAUGCGUAGAUAUCAGGAGGAACACCGGUGGCGAAGGCGGCCUGCUGGACUGUAACUGACACUGAGGCUCGAAAGCGUGGGGAGUAAACAGGAUUAGAUACCCUAGUAGUC